GAUGUGGGAAAAAUACUAACUGUGGUAUUCAAUGGCUGAAGUUUGAGAAAUAUACCCUUAGGUGAGUAAGGUAGUAACCUUUAGGCCAGUGACUGAUUAUAUACUGCUGACUCUCAUUUCUAUAUUUUGAACACAGAUCUCUAUUCUCACCUUUGAACUCAUCUAUCCUGUUGCUAAGUCUCUCCUCUUAAAUAUUUCAUGGACAUCUUAACAUUGACACAUCCUAAUGGAAUUCAGCGUCUCCUCCCUUCCUCCACUCCACCUCAAACCUGCUUAUUCUUUAGCCUUUUUCUUCUCUAGGAAUGGGAACACCAUCAUUUCUUUCCUAAGUCAGAAAUUGGGUUGUCAUCAUUUGCUUUCCUGUCCUUCAACUCUCACAGUCAAUCAGUUGUCAGAUCUUAUUCAUUGCACCUUCUAAACGUCUCUACUAUUUGUCUGUUUCUCUCCAUCUUCAUAGCCGUAGUCUAAGCCAUUCCCGUCUUUCUCUUGAAUUGCCUCCCCACAGUUAGUUAUUCCCUUUUUUCCUAUUCCACCCCCAACCCCAGUCUGUUCUCUGUACUGCAGCUGGUGUAAUUUCUUAGGCCUGGACAUAGAAACCGUUCCUGGCUUCCUCUUGCUAUCAGGCUAUGCUUCUGUAAGAUUUGGCUUCUCCUCACCUUCCCAGCCUCAUCUCUAACCACUUCCCAGCUACCGUCCCAUCCCUUCUCACCAACUGGCCCUCCAGAUCUCUGCUUGGAAUGCCAUAAUUCUUACUCCCCCUGGCCUAGCUACCUCCUGCUCACCCUUCAGAUCUCAGCUAUACUUUAGUUUUCCAGGAGUCCAUCUUUGACUACCUGCCCCAAGAUAGUUCCUUUGUUUUACUCUCACUGAAUGUUCUACGCUUUCACAUACUUCAACUAUUUUUAAUUACUUUUAGCAUAUUUCUUUCCCCUGGUGAGGAUUGCUGUCUUCACUGCAACAACUCCAGUGCAGCUCACUGCCUGGCAUAAGAAUAUGGAUGCUGACGGGGCCACCUCUGAUCUUGUGAGGAACUAGUCAGGGAGAAAUUGCUGAAGAUGCAAAAGGUACCAAAUUCAAUUUGUUAAUUUCAAAUGUAAAAUUCUCUUCUUGGCUUGCCCGACCCAAUCAAGAGGUAAUUGAAUUUCACUGGGUUUUGCUGCAUUGUGUCUAUCAAUGAAAGGCCUCCAUUUUAGAGUGGUUUCUUAAAGAAAAAAAUGUACCAAUGUUUAAAUGGAGUCAUUUAAAACAUUGCACUGAUUUUUCAAUUAAGUUAAACAAACUACUGAGUCGUCAUAGUUUUAAGUUAUGUUUGUAGGGCCUGGAGUAAUAUUAAAUGCAACUAUCCAGGGACUGAUGGAAGACAAGUGGCAUUGCUUUAUUGAUAGAAAUAUUUGUAAUAACAACCACCAACAUUUUUCAACCUAGGCAUUGUGCUAGGUUCUUUACCUACUUGUAUCUAAUUUAAUUCUCAUAACAACUCUCUUCAGUGGGUAUGAUUGCUAUUACCAUUUUACAGAAGAGGAAACUGAGGCUUGGAAAGGAUAAUGACCUUGCCUGAGGUCAUGUGGCUAGAAGACAGCAGAGAUGAGUCAGGAAUGUAAGCAGUGUAGAAGGAGCCUACACUGGCAAGUACUGCACAUGUCUGCCUCUCUGCUUUAAAAAUUACAGCAUCCUUAGAUUUCAGCUGAAUUUUUCUAAGCAAAUGACCCAAGCCAGCUUUCCCGUGCCAUCUCAUCUAAUGGUAGACUGAUAGUCUAUAUACUGAAUAAGAUUCUAAACCAAUGGUCAUUCUGCUACCACCUUGAAGGAUGUGAAUUUGGCAUUGUACAAGGUACCCAGCAGUGAUAGAGUUGAAUCCCUGUGAAAUGACCGAUAGAAAGCCAUUAAAAACUUGCUAAUUUCCAAAUCUUGUCCUGGGUUAUUCUAACAUUUGCCUCAGAAACAAGUAAAGGGUAAAUGAACCUGACUAUAUCAUGUUGUGAAAUUGUGAUAACUGUGGUCUGAUUUUUUAAUAGAAAGUGAGACAUUAGGUAAAACAAAGCACAGAUUUAUCUUUAGGUAGCACCACACUAUUAUGGUCAUCUGAUAAUAAGACCUUUGAAAUUAUUGACAAAACCGUUUACUAGGUGUGGAAGAAAACAGGACUAACGCUCCCACGAAAUGACAUGUCCCAAGGGCAGUGAUCCAGCCCAGGAGCAAAUGUGGGAAGGAUUAAGGUGUUGGGGAGCAGACUGCUGUCAUUGAAUUUCUGAUAGCUGGAAUUCAAGAUCAGAGGGCAAUUGGUAAAUUGUAGCGCUGAGUAUGUUUUCUCUUUACCUGAUUAUUUUUCAUAGGCCCUGUUUCAAUUUUGUUUACCAGUCGACAGGAACUUUAAUCCUUUUGCUCCAUUUUUAUCCAUCUCUUCCCAAUAUGAACUAUUGGCACUUACCUGAUUUUAGAUUGCCUUGUUUUUAGCCAGCCAUAUGUGUGUGUAUAUGUGUAAUAAGUGUGUUUGUGUGUGCAGUUACAGAUACACACAUACACUCUUACUCAGCGUACAUGAUUCACAACAUAAAUCACUACAAAAUCCUGAGAAUUUACAUAGCACUGUCACACACUGCAUCUCAUUUUUCUCCCAGGUAACCCCCCCAACACACAUUAUGCAGAUAGGGAAGCUGGAGCUCAGCUAUCUCAAAAGAAUCACUAAAGAUCACCUGUUGGCACAGAGUAGAGGAAAACUUAGCACUCAGGUUUUCUGAUACCAGAUCUUAGUUGUUUUACUUAUGACCCAAAUUUCAUUUCCACGUUUUCCAAGCCACUGACUUCUCCAUUAUGCUCAAGUUUUUCAUUAAUUCAGUAGAGAUUUAUUGAACUUCAUGUGCCAGCCAUUAGAAACGGAUGGGGAGACAAUGAACUAUGGGGAAUGAGUGUGCAGAUUAUCUGGAAGGUUGAAAAAGACAAAUCCUUCUCUGUUCCUUCCACCGGUUUUCUUACUGUACCCGAAGCAUGGUAUUUGGUGAUGCUAUUUAGAAUGAUGAUGGUGAUUUCACUUCUACUGCUGGAUGCCAAUCAGUGAUUGACAUUCAUUGAGCAUAUACUAGGCCAGGCACCAUGCCAAAUGUUUUCAUAUAUUAUCUCACUGAAACAUUCAAAUUUGAUCAAGUGGUUACUAUUAAGUUAUUGCAUGUUAAUUGUAGGAGCAAGGAGAGUUUUUGAAGUAGGGCCUUGAAAUGGAGUCUGUAUGACCCCAAAGCUCUUGCUCUUAACCUCCCAUACAAAAAAAAAAAAAAAAAUUCAAUGCUAUCAAUUGUUUGUAUCAGUCACAUAUUUGCUGACUUCUUGCACCAUUGAGAGCUUUUCUAAUGGCCUUCUAGCAACUGACUCUCACUUGUUACUUUCAGUCCUUUCUCCAUAGGACAGUUGUCAUAGGACGAAUGUAUGAGAACUGUGGCCAUUGUUCCAUUGCUCCACUGGCUUA
Molecule: non-coding RNA, 3457 nt
Organism: Chlorocebus sabaeus (green monkey)
Lineage: Eukaryota; Metazoa; Chordata; Mammalia; Primates; Cercopithecidae
Source: RefSeq, a predicted model, not a curated record